ACGGGGUGCAGCAGGCGCGAAACCUCCGCAAUGCACGCAAGUGUGACGGGGCCAUCCCGAGUGCCUACGGGCUUUUCUUCAGUGUAAGAAGCUGAUGGAAUAAGGGGAGGGCAAGGCUGGUGCCAGCCGCCGCGGUAAAACCAGCUCCUCAAGUGAUUCGGACUUUUACUGGGCCUAAAGCGUUCGUAGCCGGGUCUGCAAGUCUUCGGUAAAAUCCGGCAGCUCAACUGUCGGCCUGCUGGAGAUACUACAGAUCUUGGAGGCGGAAGAGGUAGAGGGUACUCCUUGGGUAGGGGUGAAAUCCGUUAAUCCAAGGGGGACCACCAGUGGCGAAGGCGCUCUACUGGGACGCGCUCGACGGUGAGGGACGAAAGCCAGGGGAGCGAACCGGAUUAGAUACAUUUUUGCAUAUUUAGCAUCAUGCUAAAUACCCGGGUAGUCCUGUGCUGUAAACGAUGCGGGCUAGGUGUUGGCCCAGCCACGAGCUGGGUCAGUGCCGAAGGGAAGCCGAUAAGCCCGCCGCCUGGGGAGUACGGUCGCAAGGCUGAAAUCAGGUCAGAUACGUUACCUGACA
RNAcentral lists this ribosomal RNA (574 nucleotides) under uncultured archaeon. RNAcentral describes it as "bacterial SSU rRNA". It matches the Rfam family "Archaeal small subunit ribosomal RNA", at positions 325 to 861 of the family's 1478-position model. The record is from RNAcentral.